Non-coding RNA from Testicularia cyperi, 112 nucleotides. The record is from the annotation of a GenBank genome assembly. NCBI's taxonomy places the organism in Eukaryota, Fungi, Basidiomycota, Ustilaginomycetes, Ustilaginales, Anthracoideaceae.
GGCCGGUUGGCGCAGUGGUUACCGCGCUAGAUUUAGGUACUACCUCUCACACUUGAGAGGACAGGUCUGAAACCAACUCUAGUAUUCCUGGGUUCGAACCCCAGACUGGUCA